RNAcentral lists this ribosomal RNA (1353 nucleotides) under uncultured bacterium. Its description in RNAcentral is "bacterial SSU rRNA". It matches the Rfam family "Bacterial small subunit ribosomal RNA", at positions 27 to 1367 of the family's 1533-position model. The record is from RNAcentral.
GGAUAAACGCUGGCGGCGCACAUAAGACAUGCAAGUCGAACGGAAGUCGUUAUAAAAGGAGAGAAGAUUUGUCGGAUUGAAUUUUAUAACAAUGGCUUUAGUGGCGGACUGGUGAGUAACGCGUAAGGAACCUACCUAUUAGAGGGGAACAACAAUGAGAAAUCAUUGCUAAUACCGCAUAUGCCAUAACUACCGCAUGGUAGAAGUGGGAAAGGAGUAAUCUGCUGAUAGAUGGCCUUGCGUCUGAUUAGUUAGUUGGUGGGGUAACGGCCUACCAAGACGACGAUCAGUAGCCGGACUGAGAGGUUGAACGGCCACAUUGGGACUGAGAUACGGCCCAGACUCCUACGGGAGGCAGCAGUCGGGAAUAUUGCGCAAUGGAGGAAACUCUGACGCAGUGACGCCGCGUGCAGGAAGAAGGUUUUCGGAUUGUAAACUGCUUUAGACAGGGAAGAGAAAGGACAGUACCUGUAGAAUAAGCUCCGGCUAACUACGUGCCAGCAGCCGCGGUAAUACGUAGGGAGCGAGCGUUAUCCGGAUUUAUUGGGUGUAAAGGGUGCGUAGACGGGAAUACAAGUUAGUUGUGAAAUACCUCGGCUUAACUGAGGAACUGCAACUAAAACUAUAUUUCUUGAGUACAGGAGAGGUAAGUGGAAUUCCUAGUGUAGCGGUGAAAUGCGUAGAUAUUAGGAGGAACACCAGUGGCGAAGGCGACUUACUGGACUGAAACUGACGUUGAGGCACGAAAGUGUGGGGAGCAAACAGGAUUAGAUACCCUGGUAGUCCACACCGUAAACGAUGAAUACUAGGUGUGGGAGGACUGACCCCUUCCGUGCCGCAGUUAACACAAUAAGUAUUCCACCUGGGGAGUACGACCGCAAGGUUGAAACUCAAAGGAAUUGACGGGGGCCCGCACAAGCAGUGGAUUAUGUGGUUUAAUUCGACGCAACGCGAAGAACCUUACCAGGAUUUGACAUCCAACUAACGAAGUAGAGAUACAUUAGGUACCCUUCGGGGGAAGUUGAGACAGGUGGUGCAUGGUUGUCGUCAGCUCGUGUCGUGAGAUGUUGGGUUAAGUCCCGCAACGAGCGCAACCCCUAUUGUUAGUUGCUACGAAAGAGCACUCUAGCGAGACUGCCGUUGACAAAACGGAGGAAGGCGGGGACGACGUCAAAUCAUCAUGCCCCUUAUGUCCUGGGCUACACACGUAAUACAAUGGCGGUCAACAAAGAGAAGCAAGACAGUGAUGUGGAGCAAAUCUCAAAAAAUUGUCCCAGUUCAGAUUGUAGGCUGCAACUCGCCUACAUGAAGUCGGAAUUGCUAGUAAUCGCGGAUCAGAAUGCCGCGGUGAAU